AUUGAACGCUGGCGGAAUGCUUUACACAUGCAAGUCGGGCGGCAGCGCGGGGGCAACCCUGGCGGCGAGCGGCGAACGGGUGAGUAACACAUCGGAACGUACCCUGUCGUGGGGGAUAACGAAUCGAAAGAUUCGCUAAUACCGCAUACGACCUGAGGGUGAAAGCGGGGGAUCGCAAGACCUCGCGCGAGAGGAGCGGCCGAUGGCGGAUUAGCUAGUUGGUGGGGUAAAGGCCCACCAAGGCGACGAUCCGUAGCGGGUCUGAGAGGACGGCCCGCCACACUGGGACUGAGACACGGCCCAGACUCCUACGGGAGGCAGCAGUGGGGAAUUUUGGACAAUGGGGGCAACCCUGAUCCAGCCAUUCCGCGUGAGUGAAGAAGGCCUUCGGGUCGUAAAGCUCUUUCGGCAGGAACGAAACGGCGGGCUCUAACAUAGCCUGUCAAUGACGGUACCUGAAGAAGAAGCACCGGCUAACUACGUG
RNAcentral lists this ribosomal RNA (484 nucleotides) under uncultured bacterium. RNAcentral describes it as "bacterial SSU rRNA". It matches the Rfam family "Bacterial small subunit ribosomal RNA", at positions 29 to 507 of the family's 1533-position model. The record is from RNAcentral.